Molecule: long non-coding RNA, 537 nt
Organism: Mercenaria mercenaria
Lineage: Eukaryota; Metazoa; Mollusca; Bivalvia; Venerida; Veneridae
Exons: 3
Source: RefSeq, a predicted model, not a curated record
CGUGUUACAACAAGGAACAAAGGACAAAGCUACAGAAAGGACAAAAAUUAAAUGCUACCUUGACAGAGUUUUCUUUUCCCAAUUACUGACAUUGUGACCUAGUUUUUGCAACAUUAUUACAUUAAUAGAUUUAACAUUUCAGGUUCAUUUAAUGUUCUUGUCAGGAAAAUAUUGCCUGCACUGUCGGCCUUCUCAGUCAGAGACAUCAAUUCAGAAUGGGUAAACAAAAUAAAAGAAAGCCUGGUAAUACAACCAACAACACCGGUGACAAGAAUUCCUGUUCUUGUUGACAGACACGAGGUGGAAUCCACAGACUCUUUCAAGGAAGAGAUGCUUUCUUCAGUAAACUUGUAUGCACUGGGAGGAAAUCACCUCGUUCAAGCUAUGAAGAUGGUACUUGAUCAGAAUCCUGGAAACGAUAAUUACAGCUGUUUAAGGGCCAUAGAAGUUGAAGUUUUCUGUGGAUUAACAAAUCUGGAGGCGAGAUUUGUGGAAGUGUCCCAAACAAAAAGUGCAACACCUUAAAACCAACUUUUC